This 253-nucleotide ribosomal RNA is filed under the name uncultured bacterium. RNAcentral's name for it is "partial 16S ribosomal RNA". It matches the Rfam family "Bacterial small subunit ribosomal RNA", at positions 524 to 776 of the family's 1533-position model. The record is from RNAcentral.
CACGUAGGGCGCGAGCGUUGUCCGGAAUUAUUGGGCGUAAAGAGCUCGUAGGCGGCCUGUUGCGUCCGCUGUGAAAGCCCGGGGCUUAACCCCGGGUCUGCAGUGGAUACGGGCAGGCUGGAGGCAGGCAGGGGAGAACGGAAUUCCCGGUGUAGCGGUGAAAUGCGCAGAUAUCGGGAGGAACACCGGUGGCGAAGGCGGUUCUCUGGGCCUGUACUGACGCUGAGGAGCGAAAGCGUGGGGAGCGAACAGG